RNAcentral lists this ribosomal RNA (253 nucleotides) under uncultured bacterium. RNAcentral describes it as "partial 16S ribosomal RNA". It matches the Rfam family "Bacterial small subunit ribosomal RNA", at positions 524 to 776 of the family's 1533-position model. The record is from RNAcentral.
UACGUAGGGUACGAGCGUUGUCCGGAAUUAUUGGGCGUAAAGGGCUCGUAGGCGGUCUGUUGCGUCAGGAGUGAAAACUCGGGGCUUAACCCCGAGCCUGCUUCUGAUACGGGCAGACUAGAGGUAUGCAGGGGAGAACGGAAUUCCUGGUGUAGCGGUGAAAUGCGCAGAUAUCAGGAGGAACACCGAUGGCGAAGGCAGGUCUCUGGGCCGAUACUGACGCUGAGGAGCGAAAGCGUGGGGAGCGAACAGG